CGAAACUUUAAAAAAAUGUUCCGUUGUUUUUUUCCCCCUCUAUCACUUUCUCUCUAUCCUAUCCUAUCCUAUCCUAUCCUAUCCUGUCCUGUCCCUAUCUCCGGCACUUCCUCCGUCGCAUCUCGCUACCUGCCCCAAUCAGUCGCAUCUACCUCUUUCUAUCUUUCCAUCGCCAAAUCUCUUCCCCCCUAACUCUCUAUCACUGCAGAUGUUUUAAAAAGCCCAUUGUUUUCAUGUGUAUCAGUAUAUCUUAUGUAACCAUGUAUCUUUUCGAGCCUCUACACUCUAGUUUUACCUGUCCUAUCUUUUUCUUGCGUGCUGGUGUGUUUUUGUGUUUUUUUUCCUGUUAUACUUCAGGGGGAAAUGUCACAGAAAUUGUGCUCCUGCUUGUGGUUUAGGCUACACACGUCACAUUCCCAGUACAGUAUUAUGGCUAAUACCUUUUAGCAAACACCUUUUUCUCCUGUAUUUCUUUUCCUCCUUUUUUUUUACCCCUUGCUAUUUUUUUCAGAGCCCCUCUUGAGACAGCAGCCUGUUAUUUCCACUGCCCCCCCACCCCCUCUCUUUUUUUCACUUCUUCUCUCCCUCUCCAGGGUGAAGGAAAGAGUGAGAGACUACGGAUAGGAGCAGGAGAGGUGCUGUCCAGACCAGAAGGGGCCUCUCAAAGUGUUGCAUAGAAACAGUGAGCGGACACACGCCACAGGAGUGUCGAGGCGGUGGAGGAGAAACAGAGUGAGACACUCAGACUACGACCUCAAAGACAUCAGAGAGGAAGGGGAACCUGUGACAGAGCCUGCCAGCCUGCCUCGCUGCCAGACAAACUUUACUCACACAAGCUUCUCUCACUUCGCCCGUACUUUACACUGGGUUUGCUGUGCGCCAUGACAUGUACUCGCACUUCUAUGCUUUCUUCGAAUCACUCGAAUGCCUCGCUCACUUCUCUCACAUUUUGCUUCAUUGUUAAUCCACACAGCUGCUCAAAUCAUUAGUCAUUUAAAAAAGAAAAAAAAAACUAUCAAAUUCAGGAGUGUGUGUAUUUUUGUAACAUCCUGCAAUAAACUGACAGGG
Molecule: long non-coding RNA, 1068 nt
Organism: Astatotilapia calliptera (eastern happy)
Lineage: Eukaryota; Metazoa; Chordata; Actinopteri; Cichliformes; Cichlidae
Source: Ensembl